GACGAACGCUGGCGGCGUGCUUAACACAUGCAAGUCGAGCGGUAAGGCCCUUUCGGGGGUACGACGAGCGGCGAACGGGUGAGUAACACGUGGGUGACCUGCCCUCAGCUCUGGGAUAAGCCCGGGAAACUGGGUCUAAUACCGGAUAUGACUCCAUGACGCAUGUUGUGGGGUGGAAAGCCUUGUGCGGCUGAGGAUGGGCCCGCGGCCUAUCAGCUUGUUGGUGGGGUGAUGGCCACCAAGGCGACGACGGGUAGCCGGCCUGAGAGGGCGACCGGCCACACUGGGACUGAGAUACGGCCCAGACUCCUACGGGAGGCAGCAGUGGGGAAUCUUGCGCAAUGGGCGAAAGCCUGACGCAGCGACGCCGCGUG
RNAcentral lists this ribosomal RNA (374 nucleotides) under uncultured bacterium. Its description in RNAcentral is "bacterial SSU rRNA". It matches the Rfam family "Bacterial small subunit ribosomal RNA", at positions 28 to 403 of the family's 1533-position model. The record is from RNAcentral.